GAUGAACGCUGGCGGCGUGCUUAACACAUGCAAGUCGAACGGUGAAGGCGGAGCUUGCUCUGCUGGAUCAGUGGCGAACGGGUGAGUAACACGUGAGCAAUCUGCCCCUGACUCUGGGAUAAGCGCUGGAAACGGCGUCUAAUACUGGAUACGAGCUGCGAAGGCAUCUUCAGCAGCUGGAAAGAAUUUCGGUCAGGGAUGAGCUCGCGGCCUAUCAGCUUGUUGGUGAGGUAAUGGCUCACCAAGGCGUCGACGGGUAGCCGGCCUGAGAGGGUGACCGGCCACACUGGGACUGAGACACGGCCCAGACUCCUACGGGAGGCAGCAGUGGGGAAUAUUGCACAAUGGGCGAAAGCCUGAUGCAGCAACGCCGCGUGAGGGACGACGGCCUUCGGGUUGUAAACCUCUUUUAGCAGGGAAGAAGCGAAAGUGGCGGUACCUGCAGAAAAAGCGCCGGCUAACUACGUG
RNAcentral lists this ribosomal RNA (468 nucleotides) under uncultured bacterium. RNAcentral describes it as "partial 16S ribosomal RNA". It matches the Rfam family "Bacterial small subunit ribosomal RNA", at positions 28 to 507 of the family's 1533-position model. The record is from RNAcentral.